Cebus imitator (Panamanian white-faced capuchin) is the source of this 1281-nucleotide long non-coding RNA. RefSeq lists it as uncharacterized. The record is from RefSeq and is a predicted model, not a curated record. The transcript has 2 exons. Lineage: Eukaryota; Metazoa; Chordata; Mammalia; Primates; Cebidae.
CGCCGGCGGCGGCACCAACUGCAACAGCGAGGCCUCUUCUGGCUCGGGCGGUUACGCGGCUCCUUCGAGAGAAGGGGAUCUUCCUGGGCCCCAGAGUGCUUGAGGCCUUAUAACAGAUCCUUUGACGUCUCUACUAGGCUACGCUUUGACCAUAGGCAAGGGUAUUAUAAAACGUUUUGUUACUUUAUGUCAAAAAUGUGAACCUGUCAGAACCACUUGUAGUGGUACCCAUCAUUCAAGCUACAGCAGGGGAGGCUGAGGGAUGAGGAUCGCUUGAACCCAGUUUGCCAUGAUUAUGCAUGUGAAUAGCCACUAUACUCCAUCUUGAGUAGCAUAGUGAGUCCCAGUUUGAUAUAAAAAAAAAAGUCUAUUUCAUAUAAGUUAAAUGCACAUCUGCCCUAUGAGCCAGCAGUCCCACAUCUAGGUAUUUGUCCAGAGAAAUAAAAGCAUAUAUCGAUAAAAAGAGUUGCACAAAAAUAUCCCUAACAACUUUAUUUGUGGUUACCAAAAACGACAAACUGCCCAAAUGUCCAUCAUUAAUAAAGCAAUAUAUUAAUCUAAUCAGAUACAACUUAGCAACAAAAGGAAAAAAAACAUGGAUGAGUCUCAAAAACUUAGGAUGAUUUAUACUUUCUGGAGAUGAGGCCCUCGAAUCUCUACCUGAUGAUAACAAGCUCCCUAUAUGAUUCCUGUACAGCCAGCCUGGCACCAUGCAAGCAUAUCAGAAUUACACAUACCAUCCAACUUCAGCUUCUUGUUUGUAGAGAUGGAGCAACCGACUCUGGGACUUCUGAAGUCAUUGCCAAGAUUUACAAUAUUUGUUUUCUUACUCCCAAUUUCUAAACCAUUUAGCUACAAGCAGAUUGUCUUUGGUUUACCUAUGGGACUCUGCAGACAAAUAAUACCUGUUUUUUAUAGUUAAGAUACUUUGCAUGUCUGUUCUUAUCACCCACCAUCAUCAUACCACUAGUUCUCUACUAUAAUCGGGAGAGCUGCAAUGAGUUUUGGAACUCAGUACCCUAAAUAGUAAUACUGUUAUUGUAAAUGUUAAAGAUACAAAAUUAUGAAUAAGAGUCAUAAAUUGCAAUUAUAGGGACAAAUGUAGCAGCUGAUGGCUUUGCUAGUUGGGGGACAGAGGGAGCUGGGUUGCAGCAGGAACCAACCCUGGACAGCCAGGAGCUGGACUGGCACUAUUAGCUAUGCAUUUGUGGUACUGGCAGCUGUCUUGGCAUUCUCAGUUCUGAGUGUUUUAUCAAAUAUAAACAAUCUCACAAAACGUCA